This 1640-nucleotide unclassified non-coding RNA is filed under the name Hevea brasiliensis (rubber tree). The record is from RNAcentral. Lineage: Eukaryota; Viridiplantae; Streptophyta; Magnoliopsida; Malpighiales; Euphorbiaceae.
GAUGGUCCAUGUCCUCUAGACUCUUUUUUGUAAUUCCUCUUUUAAAUUAAAAUUUUUAAUAUAAUAUAAUAUAAAAAUUGUAUUUUGGGCCAGGCCUAGGCUGCCUAGUGCCUAGCCCCUCACCAGGCCUGGGUGUGUGAACAGGUUUAACUGCAAGAACCCCAAAGAUUCUAUGAAAACAUCUCACAGAUACAUAGUUUCCAGAUUCCCUCUCAAAAUGUCAAGAAAGUCUCUUAACCUUCUGAGUGCUGAUGCUAUGCUGCAGUUUCUGGUUUUCUUAUUUAGAUUGCUUAUCACCUGUUGCUAACAUGGCUUUCAUUCAUCAUACAUGCAAUAUGACACAAAUAAAGACCUUAUAACACCGAGAAAAGAGGGCAUAAAACUCCAAAAACUAUGACAAAACAUCAUUUAUGAAAGCUAUACAUGUCAUUGAAAAGAAUCAGGAAAUUACUUCUUUAACCUUAAUAUCAACCUUUCCCCAACAGUUACGCUUAACAUCAGCAACCGUAACAAAUAACGCACUAAAAAUUACUCCAAAAUGUAACAGAGUACAGAGACAGAGCACUCUGCACAGAUUACAAUCUGUAAUACAAAUCUCAGAUGCAUCUUUCCUCAUUAAAAGCAAAAACAAAAUGCAAUAUUUAGUAAUUCCAAAGAAUAAUAAGACCCAAAGUGCAUAUUUAUGAUAUUAUCAACCAGUUUAAGAAUAAAUGGCAUAAUACUAAAUUUAAUCAUUUAUGUGCAUAACUACAACGGAAGUUCUACUACAUUAUGCCAAUUUUCAAUGUAUUCCCAAUAAAUACUUUUAAUUCAAGUGCUAUUAAAAUGUGAAUUGUUUUCCAAUCCUAAAUUGCUAUGCUGUGACAAUCUCUAUUAACUAAUGCUUAAAGGAUGCCACAGGAAGCAACUUUCCAAACUAGCUUUCUACUGAACAAAAAUAAUAAUUUUUCAAGAAAGAAAACAAAGAGAAAAUCAUCAAAAAGAAUAGAGGAGAUAAAAAGAGAGUAAAACUAUCCUCAAUUUCCUUAGCAACUAAAAAAAGAACUUUAGAGGGGGGGAACCCAAUAAACAAACUACUUCUUGGAAAAGGAUAAAAAAGUCAUUCCCAUUUUCCCUCCCUUUCAUUUGCAUUCAUUCAUUAAAAAAUUAUUAUUUUUGCUAAGUUGUAGGACUGAUUUGGAAGAAGUGUUACCAUGUAGUAUCCACAAGACAUUAGUUGUUAGAAAUUCCUGUCAUUAACAAUUCAAUACUAAUGGUUUCAAGUUUUAAAACGUAUCAGGAAGUGAAUAAAAAAGGAAAAGAGUGUCAUGAAUUCACUGAAAAAUGACAUAAUUUAUUAAACCUGGUAAUAUAGUUCACACUUAUCAAACAUAGAAGACCAAUAAGCUACAUGCUUCUAACGUUGACAACAUUUUCAAGUGCAUACAUGCAUGAAUAAACAAAUGAUUUUCAGUUGAUGAGUUUUGAAUUUACAAAAUUCAUGUUAACACUAGUCAAGAAGCAUUAAAAGCAAUAAAACUAAUAGGUGAAACAGCAUAUAGGAUGGAAAAUUAUUAAAAAAAAAAAAGAUUAAAUAAAUCAUAUAACUAGCUGCUUAUUUAAUCGACUCAAGUAUCCGACAUUCAUCAUCACAAGAAUAA